UACGUAGGGUGCAAGCGUUGUCCGGAAUUAUUGGGCGUAAAGAGCUCGUAGGCGGCUUGUCACGUCGGCUGUGAAAACCUGGGGCUCAACCCCGGGCCUGCAGCCGAUACGGGCAAGCUAGAAUUCGGUAGGGGGGACUGGAAUUCCUGGUGUAGCGGUGAAAUGCGCAGAUAUCAGGAGGAACACCGGUGGCGAAGGCGGGUCUCUGGGCCGAUAUUGACGCUGAGGAGCGAAAGCGUGGGGAGCGAACAGG
RNAcentral lists this ribosomal RNA (253 nucleotides) under uncultured bacterium. RNAcentral describes it as "partial 16S ribosomal RNA". It matches the Rfam family "Bacterial small subunit ribosomal RNA", at positions 524 to 776 of the family's 1533-position model. The record is from RNAcentral.